GUUUCCGUGGUGUAGCGGUUAUCACGUGUGCUUCACACGCACAAGGUCCCUGGUUCGAUCCCGGGCGGGAACA
This 73-nucleotide transfer RNA is filed under the name Cordylochernes scorpioides. RNAcentral describes it as "tRNA-Val". The record is from RNAcentral. Lineage: Eukaryota; Metazoa; Arthropoda; Arachnida; Pseudoscorpiones; Chernetidae.